CUCAGUCUCCAUCUUCUCGGGCCCUUUGGGCUCCUUCUCGUCCCUGUUGUCACCGUCGUCCCUAUCCGGGGGCGGCCCCAUCCCGUCCCCACGCUCGCUGGGCGCCGGGGUGGCGGGUUUGGAGGUGCACGGGGUGGGGGUCCGGCUCUGCUCGGGGUCGGUGCUGCAGGUCUUGGCGGGGGAGGAGGCGCGGGAGGAGCGCUUGGAGUCGGCGCUGAGCUCCGGGACCAGCUCGGGGAGGCUCCAGCGCCCAUUGAUGUGCUCGAACUCCUGCACCUUCUUCUUGACCAGGGACAUGACGCCGAUGCGGGUCAGCACCUGCUGCCUCGACAGCCCCUCGCGGGGGACCCC
Molecule: long non-coding RNA, 351 nt
Filed under: Gallus gallus (chicken)
Lineage: Eukaryota; Metazoa; Chordata; Aves; Galliformes; Phasianidae
Source: RNAcentral